GUGUCAGCAGCCGCGGUAAUACGUAGGUGGCAAGCGUUGUCCGGAUUUACUGGGCGUAAAGGAUGUGUAGGCGGUUUUUUAAGUCUGAUGUGAAAUCCCCCGGCUUAACUUGGGGGCUGCAUUUCAAACUGGAUGUCUUGAGUGCAGGAGAGGAAAGCAGAAUUCCUAGUGUAGCGGUGAAAUGCGUAGAGAUUAGGAGGAAUACCAGUGGCGAAGGCGGCUUUCUGGUCUGUAACUGACGCUGAGGCGUGAAAGCAUGGGGAGCAAACAGGAUUAGAUACCCUGGUAGUCCAUGCCGUAAACGAUGAGUGCUAAGUGUAAGAGG
RNAcentral lists this ribosomal RNA (325 nucleotides) under uncultured bacterium. RNAcentral describes it as "bacterial SSU rRNA". It matches the Rfam family "Bacterial small subunit ribosomal RNA", at positions 505 to 829 of the family's 1533-position model. The record is from RNAcentral.